Molecule: non-coding RNA, 69 nt
Organism: Callithrix jacchus (white-tufted-ear marmoset)
Lineage: Eukaryota; Metazoa; Chordata; Mammalia; Primates; Cebidae
Source: Rfam
GUAGUUAUAGUUUAAUUAAAACAUUACAUUGUGAAUGUAACAACAGAAGCUCACAACUUCUUAUCUACC